RNAcentral lists this ribosomal RNA (433 nucleotides) under uncultured bacterium. RNAcentral's name for it is "bacterial SSU rRNA". It matches the Rfam family "Bacterial small subunit ribosomal RNA", at positions 954 to 1390 of the family's 1533-position model. The record is from RNAcentral.
GCAGAACGCGAAGAACCUUACCAGGGCUUGACAUCCUACUAAUGAAGCAGAGAUGCAUUAAGUGCCCUUCGGGGAAAGUAGAGACAGGUGGUGCAUGGUUGUCGUCAGCUCGUGUCGUGAGAUGUUGGGUUAAGUCCCGCAACGAGCGCAACCCCUAUUGUUAGUUGCUACGCAAGAGCACUCUAGCGAGACUGCCGUUGACAAAACGGAGGAAGGUGGGGACGACGUCAAAUCAUCAUGCCCCUUAUGUCCUGGGCCACACACGUAAUACAAUGGCGUUAAACAGAGGGAUGCUAAGCCGUGAGGUGGAGCGAACCCCUAAAAGGCGUCUCAGUUCGGAUUGCAGGCUGCAACUCGCCUGCAUGAAGUCGGAAUCGCUAGUAAUCGCGGAUCAGAAUGCCGCGGUGAAUACGUUCCCGGGUCUUGUACACAC